Molecule: ribosomal RNA, 806 nt
Filed under: uncultured bacterium
Lineage: Bacteria
Description: bacterial SSU rRNA
Rfam family: Bacterial small subunit ribosomal RNA
Source: RNAcentral
AGAGUUUGAUCAUGGCUCAGAAUGAACGCUGGCGGCGUGCUUAACACAUGCAAGUCGUGCGCGAAGGUGGCUUCGGCUGCCGGAGAGCGGCGAACGGGUGAGUAACACGUGGGUGAUCUGCCUGGGAGCGGGGGAUAACCUGGGGAAACUCGGGCUAACACCGCAUACGUUGGUUGGGGUAGUCCUGAUCAAGAAAGCUGGCCUCUGCUUGCAAGCUAGCGCUCCCAGAGGAGCCCGCGGCUGAUUAGCUAGUUGGUGAGGUAAAGGCUCACCAAGGCGACGAUCAGUAGCCGGCCUGAGAGGGUGAUCGGCCACACUGGGACUGAGACACGGCCCAGACUCCUACGGGAGGCAGCAGUGGGGAAUAUUGGACAAUGGGCGCAAGCCUGAUCCAGCAACGCCGCGUGGAGGAUGAAGGUCUUCGGAUCGUAAACUCCUGUCAGGUGGGACGAAGGUUGCGGGGUGAAUAAUCUUGCAGCUUGACGGUACCACCAGAGGAAGCCCCGGCUAACUCCGUGCCAGCAGCCGCGGUAAUACGGAGGGGGCGAGCGUUAUUCGGAAUUAUUGGGCGUAAAGGGCGCGUAGGCGGCUUUCUAAGUCAAAGGUGAAAUCCCUUGGCUCAACUGAGGAACUGCCUUUUGAAACUGGCAAGCUUGAGGCCGGGAGAGGAGCGGAAUUCCCAGUGUAGCGGUGAAAUGCGUAGAUACUGGGAGGAACACCGGUGGCGAAGGCGGCUACCUGGACCGGUACUGACGCUGAGNNGCGAAAGCGUGGGUAGCAAACAGGAUUAGAUACCCUAGUAGUCC